This is a long non-coding RNA of Mauremys reevesii (Reeves's turtle), 484 nucleotides long. RefSeq lists it as uncharacterized. The record is from RefSeq and is a predicted model, not a curated record. NCBI's taxonomy places the organism in Eukaryota, Metazoa, Chordata, Testudines, Geoemydidae. The transcript has 3 exons.
CCAUCAAGGAUAAAUGCUUGCUUGCUACUUACAUCCUCCCUCACAGCUAACAUAGUAAGGGCUCAAUUCUGCAAGAUGCUUGGUCACUCGUUUGAUGUCCUAGAUGCCUUCAGCUACCACUAGUGGCAUUCAGCACCUCACAGAUACGCUCAGCACCGUUAGUGCCCAUGGGCCAAUCGGCAACAGGUGUCCCUUCUGCUAGACAUUGUGCAAACACAGAAUAAGAGUGAAUCCCUGCCCUGAGGAGUUUACAGUCUAAACAGACAAGACAGAAACAGGGAGGGUUACCUUCACAAAAGACACCAUGCUACAAGCUUUUUGGCACAGUCAGGAGGCCAUCAUGAGUUGCUAAAGCAGCUGCUGCAAAUCAGCCUGUUAUUUUGGCAAUCUCAAUUGCCCGUGAACUCUAGAUCUCACUUCCUUCAUGUUAUUAUUUCUUGGCACAUAAUUGUCAACAGGUGUGAUUAAAUGUGAUGAGAAGGCA